UACCAAAGAGUCCAAAAUGA
This 20-nucleotide non-coding RNA is filed under the name Mus musculus (house mouse). The record is from RNAcentral. Lineage: Eukaryota; Metazoa; Chordata; Mammalia; Rodentia; Muridae.